UUAAAAAAUUGCAUAGAACUGGGGACAGGACACACACCAGCAGGGCUGCAGUAAAACAGCCUCCCAGUCACAGGGCAGAGUUGCCACCCACAUUAUCACCAACCAUGGGAAGUUCAACAGGGGGAAGUGCUGGAUUCUGCCCUGGGAUGGGGCAACCCUGGAUGUUUGUACAGACUGGGAAUGAGAGGCUGGAAAGCAGAGCUGGGAAAGGGCCCUGGGGGUCCUGGUGGGUGCCAGUUGUCCCUGAGUCAGCAGUGCCCUGGCAGCCAGGAGGGACAACCCUGUCCUGGGGCAUCAGGGAGGGGAUUGUCCCGCUCUGCUCUGCCCUGGGGCGGCCUCACCUCAACAUUGGGGCAGUUUGGGGGGACAGAAUAGAAGGAAGAGAUUGAGCCAUUAGAGAGUGUCCAAAGGAGGGACAGGGAGAUGGGGAAGGGCCUUGAUUUGAAGGCGUGGGAGGACACUGAGGGCACUUGGUGUGUUCAGCUGGAGCAGAGGAGACUGAGGGGAGACCUCAGUGCAGUUCCAGCUGCCUGGGCAGGGGCAGAGGAGGGGCAGGGACUGAGCUCUGCUCUGGGGGGACCAGGGACAGCAGCCAGGGAAUGGCUGGAGCUGUGUCAGGGCAGGCUCAGGUUGGAUCUCAGCCAAAGGUUCUUCCCCCAGAGGCUGGUUGGGCACUGCCCAGGCUCCCCAGGGCAGUGGGCACAGCCCCAAGGCUGCCAGAGCUCCAGGAGGGUUUGGCUGAUCCUCUGGGGCACAGGGGGUGACUCUUGGGGAUGGGCCUGUGCAGGACUGAGUGUUGGACUGGAUGAUCCUUGUGGGUCCCUUCCAACCCAGCAUAUUCUGGGAUUCUGGUAAAAUCACACACCUUCUAAAUGAUGGAGUGCAAGCUCUGAGCUGCACAGGGCAAGCCUGGACAAGGAAUUUGGCUGUGGUUUCUCCCUCAUUCCUGGAUCCAGAGUCCAGCAGGGGGGCUGCUGCUGGACGGGCUAUUUUGAGCACAGUGCAGAUCACUGUUGCUGGGAGCUCACUCAGUGCCUCUGAUCAUGGCACUGUGAAUCUGCCCACACAACUGCAAUAAAUCUCCUUGCCCCAGGACACUCUGGCUUUUCUCUGCUUGCACAAUGCAACCAUCCAUUAGAGGAAGGGCUGCAACAGAUGGGCUCUCCCUUCUCCAGAAACAAGAUUGGAGAGAGAAGCUGCUGUUCCAGGGCAGGAAUUCCCACCAUCACCAGCCUUGGCAAGCUGCUUCCUUCCCUGCUUCUCAGUUAAUGAAAUCAGGUAAAUUAACAUUAGUGAAAUGUUAAUGGCUGAUAUUUGUAGGCUUCCCAGAGACUGGGCUGGGCCAAACCCCUUAAUCCUUUUAGCUGAUUCAUGACUGCAUCCUCUGAAAUGAAAAAUGUUGGCAAAUGCAGUGAUUGUGCUUGAUUCCAGAGAAAGGGAAUUUGAAAAUGAGGAAAUUUGUUAAAGAAAACGCUCAGAGUGGCAGCCAGAAAGGUAAAAUGUUUUCAGAUGGCAGGUAGACUAUUUUAGGAUUCUAUAUUGGAGGCUCAAAGCAAAUGCAUAUAACCUGUCAAAAAAAAAAGACUUGAGAGGAAAACAAAAAGCUGGCAUCAUAAAACAGCAGGAUCAGGGAGGCUCUUGGAAGUUAAAAGGUAUCCUGCAAAAAGCUGAAGUUGUGUCUGAAAAAGGAAAACUAAAAAGAACAUAAAUUCUGGCAGACUAAAUGUAAAAGCACAAUAACAUAGACUGAAGAAAGAGUUUAGAAGCAGUUUGCUAAAGAAAUAGAAAAGUAUGCUAUAAAUCCUUCCUGAACACAUCAAGAGCAAGAAGCCUUGGAAGAGUCAGUGUGAGGAAGAAGGCUCAGAAAAGAUGAUGCCAUCACAAAAAAAUCCCAAGCACUUUUUUUUUUUUUUUCCCAAAAUCUCUGUUCACCUGGAGAACCUUGAAAACUCUCCAACCAGCACCUUGUUUGUAAGGCCUUCAGAGAAGGCUUGUCUUAAUUUCAGGGUGUUAAGUGGAGAUUACAGACCAGAUAAAAUGAAUAACAACGUAUCACUGGGCAUGGAUGGAAUUCAAGCAAGGUUUUUAUUGAAUGUUAAAUAUGAAUCAUCUGACCUAACACCCUCAGUAUGUAUGUAACCUUUCGCUGAAAAUUGCUGUGAUUUUCAAAGGGCUGGAAGGUAACGAGUAAGAAAUCGGGUUUUUUAAAUAAAUCCAGUGGCAAUUCAAGAAACCACAGAUCACUAAGUUUAAUGUCCAUUUGGGUCAUAUUGGCUGAAGCUGUGGCAAAGAACAGAAUUAGCAAGCACAUGAAUAAAAGUAACAUGUUAGGGAAAAGUAAACAUGACUUUUGUAAAAGGAAUCUGAGCCUCCUAAAUCUGCUGGAAUUCUCUGAAGGACUCAAAAGCAUGUAAAUAGCAGAGCUCCAGCUGAGAAAUUUUCCCUGCAUUUCCAACUCACCCCAAGCUUCCAGAAACCUCAUGCAUAGAAGGUCCCAUCAAAGGCUCUUAAAUAAACUAAACAGCCAGGGAUUGCAGGUGAGGACCUCACAGAGUUAAAUAAGAAUUUAGUGCUGGAAAAAGAAGAUUAUACUAAAGGAUGAGUUUUCACAGUAGAAGACGAUCAUCAGGGGAGUCCCACAGAGAUUAUGGUCCAUGGUGCUCAAUGUGCUCAGGAAUGAUUUGGAAAGUUGGUGGAACAGGGAAGAUGAUUUCUGAUAAAAACUAAAUUAAUUAGGAUAAUAUUUACUACAAAAAACUUCAAGAUCUUACAACACUGAGCAAGCCUUGUGAUGAAGUGGAAGAUAAAUUUCAGCCCUGACAACCAUAAUCUGGCUAUCCACAAAAAGCAACACUAACUUUACACGGGGACUGAUGGGCCCUGAGCUAGUUUGCACAAUUUAGGAAAUACAUCUCAACAUUGUAACAGCUUGUUCUAUGAAUAUGUGACCCCACUGCUGAAUAGCAGGCAAAAAAAAAAUUCCAAAGUUCAGCACAGUUUGGAGAGAAAAGCACAACCUUGCUCCUGUACGAUUUAUGGUGUCUCUGCUUCUCCAAAACAAAGCACACUUCUGGUACCUUCACCUGAGACAAACUGUAACAGGCAAAAGAAAAGCUACGUGGCAGGAUGACAAACAUGGCAAGUACAAAACCUCUUUCAUGUGAAAAACAAAGUUAGCAGGAGAAGUUGAAUGGGAAGGGAUCACUUGGCGUUUGUCGUUCCCAGCCGUGCCGAGCAGGCCAGGUGCCAGGGAGGGGGACGGACACCGUACAAGAGCUCUGUCUCGUGCCUCUUUGUUCAGCUGCUGAAGCCUUCUAUGCUGUCAGACAACGAUUUCAAGGGCUGUGGGAGAGCUGUGACAGCUACACUUCAUACAUAAUCCCUGCAUGUUUUCAGGAAAAAGAAUAUAAAGGGGGAAAGGAGGAAUAAACAAUUGCUGUACUUGCAGUACUUUCUGUGCCCAUUAAUUCUAAUUCAUCAUUCACUAGAGGUCUCUACUUCUUUUCCCAUCUGCCCUCCUCCUACCACAUUUUCUGAACUAAAAUUUAAAAAAAUAAUAAUUAAAAAACCACAAUUAGGCAGCAUUUAUUAACAUCUGCCUGUAGUGACCCAGCUGUUGUUUGCCAGCCUCUACAGUGAUGUAUUUUAACAUCCUCCUCUCACCUCUCUACACUUCUUUCCCAGCUCCUUUGAGCAUGGGGGUUCAGGCUGUUAACUCAGCUCCUUCAGGGACAGCUCUACCUUUCAGUCACUUGUGCAGUGACUUGUACCAAUUGGUCCCAGCCCUGAUCACAGCCUUAAACUCCUGGCGAGCCAUUAAUAAUACACAGCAAUCAUUUUAAUUGCAACCGGGUGUCUGGAAUUUAGGAGCUGUGCACAGACUUCCUUCUAUCCACAAUAUUAUUGUCCCAUUGUGCAUUUUGGAGUUUAGCUCUCAUUAAAAGUAAUAGAGGGAAAUAGUCUGUAGCAAACUGAAUGUGUUUGUUUUCACAGUUCACCUCCUGCUCCUCUGCACUAAAACACUCUCGCUCAGUGACAAGACCACAGCUGUUGCCAUCGUUUCCUUACCUGCAGAGUGCAAUAUUUAGCUGGAGGGACACUGAAGUUUUCUGUUUGUUAGUUAUCAUGUCAACAACUCUCACCUUAUCACUUCAGUUUCCAUUCAGUUGAUAAAACCUGUCAGCCUUCCUUGAGUGGUUCCAGGCCCUCAGAAGAAAUCACAUUAAAUUGGCACAACCAAGUAAAUCUGGAAGGGAUGUGCUCCUGGCUUACCAAAGGAAAUGGGGGAGGGCUUGAAUUUCUCUCCCUCUUCCUCCCUGCACAGCUCCAAUGUCCGAGUGCUCGGAGCAGUGUUGAAAUCCUCCCUACGGACUCAGCAGUUCAAGUCAGAUCAGGUCUUUGAAUAUGGCCCAGAGGAGACGUCUGUGGAGCCGAAAUUGAUAUGUUUAAGUGCAAGAGACAAUAAUCAUUUCUUCAAGUAUAAGCUAAAAAUACCCGGAAAAAAAUGGAAUUCAUAAUGGAGAUUUUAAAGAUCUGUGACACACCAGAGCCUGCACAAGGGUUUUAAUGAGAGAGAAGCCAGUUUAAUUGGUCAGUGUGAGCAGAUGCUUUGCUGGGUGAGUGGGCUACGAGGUCUCACAGCCCUGGUUAACGCCAGGAGCAUCAGCCCUGUCCUCAACAUGGCUGUGACAAGCCCGUGUCACAGCAGCGCAGUGUCAGAGCCAGGGAACCUCGGUCAUCAACGUCUCCACGGUGUCAGAUCAGAGCCACGGGGAGAGAGCACUAAAAGGAGGAGGCAAAAGCCGACAAAGGAACGUUCCUGAAGAUAAUUGCAGGACUGACCAUCUCCUCUUGUCGCUUGCUUCAUUAUCACUCUGGGCAUGAAGCUGAACCAGCCUGUUAAGUUCUAACGCUGUGUUAACAGGGAGCUGCCGAGCACCAGGGCUCAGGUUCACAGGCCUCCCCUGUGAAAACUCUUCUGCAGUGUGUGUCACCGUCCUAGGAAAGCCAGGAAUAACUUCCGUGGCCCGUUCAAUUACAGACACUCCCGCCCAGCUCCCUCUCCUCGUGGCACAGCUCAUCAAUCAGGGCCUCUGUCACCGUGUCUCCUCUCAUCGCAGUCACCAGAAGGCUCUGAGCUCCCCCCCAGCCCGUGCGACAUUUACUGUCAGGGGCUGUCAACACCAAGAGAUUCUCCCAGGGCCUCCGAGUUCAUCACAAAGCAACAAGAUCUAUCCCCAAAAUGCGCUCCCAGUUCCAGCUCUGGAUUACAGUGACUGACUGAGGGGCUUUGCAGCACUCAGGGAAGAGUGAAACAGCAGCACGAGCUGCAGCUUAUGCCCAAAUACCUUUGUUUUCUUAUUCUCUUGUUAGAAAAAUACAACUGCUCUAAGAGAGGUUUCGGGCUAAUGAUUAAUUAAGCUUCCUCAACACCAUCCCUUAUAAACUUAUUAAGAGAAAGCUGAGAUUGUUUACUUGGAAAUUUAGUCUUCCCAUCUUUAGCAUUGAUCCUGCCUUCACUCUCUGUUUAACAACACAGUGACCUAGUGGAAAAAAUUUAUAAAACUUAAUAAAUUGCAGUAGGCAAUAUUGACAGAGUGUGUAUAUGCACAUUUGGGUUUGUAUGAACGUAUUAUAAGAAAUCUAAUAAAGUAAAACAAACACAUUUGCUUUGUUUGUAAGCUGUGAAACAAGAUCCCUGUAAUUACAAUGUUUGAAGCGUACUUGGUCAAAGGGCUAUGGUGAGAUUUUUGGCCAUAUAUUUCUGGUUUGAGAUUAAAGAACAACUAUUGUUUAUCAAGGGUUACAUGUUGCACAAAACUGCUUUGCUCAAGAUGCAGAAAAAUAAAAAUGUUGAUGAAAACCUAAGUUAGCAGAAGACCUCUAUGAGACCAGAGGAACCAGCACCCAGAGAAUAAAGUUCCAGUGGCAAAUGUGUCUCGAAAAAACAAUGAAGGAUUUGGAGAUAUGUUCAUUUUGUCUGACUUUUAAGGGGGAAUGGGCCUUGAUGAGUGUUUAAUCCAGUGACUGAAAGAGUGCUUUCAAUUGCAAGGUUUUUAAAAGACCAUAGAAUGUAUAUAACCUUCUAGAACUUUGAUGUCUAUUUUUAACUUGCUUUCUACAACAAGCCUGGUUUCCUCUUCCAACCAAAAUAAACAUAUUUCUUAAGGAGCACAGUA
This is a long non-coding RNA of Pseudopipra pipra, 6179 nucleotides long. RefSeq lists it as uncharacterized. The transcript is spliced from 2 exons. The record is from RefSeq and is a predicted model, not a curated record. Lineage: Eukaryota; Metazoa; Chordata; Aves; Passeriformes; Pipridae.